RNAcentral lists this unclassified non-coding RNA (345 nucleotides) under Chytridiomycota sp. RNAcentral describes it as "partial contains small subunit ribosomal RNA, internal transcribed spacer 1, and 5.8S ribosomal RNA". The stretch from base 1 to 47 matches the Rfam family "Eukaryotic small subunit ribosomal RNA", at positions 1785 to 1831 of the family's 1831-position model. Lineage: Eukaryota; Fungi; Chytridiomycota. The record is from RNAcentral.
AAAGUCGUAACAAGGUAACCGUAGGUGAACCUGCGGUUGGAUCAUUAACAAAUUUAGGCUAAAACCUAAUCACACUAUGUGCACUGUUGACGUGUUUUGGUGGUUUCUGCUUCUUCAAACCGCAGAGGUCAACCCCCUGUGUGUUUUAAGAGGUGGAAUGUGGAUUUCCCUUGGAGAUCCUGGCAUUUCUAGGAGGUAGGGCAUGCCUUACAUCCUUUGAAUGGCCACCAGCUAUAAGCAGAUCCCUAGGAUUUGUUUAUAAAAUAACCUUCUAUAAAUAUUUGCCUGAUUUUUUUCACUUGUGAAAUCUAAAAACAACUUUUGACAACGGAUCUCUUGGCUCUC